GUCUGCGGCCACACCACCCUGAACACACCUGAUCUCAUCUGAUCUCGGAAGCUAAGCAGGGUCGGGCCUGGUUAGUACUUGGGUGGGAGAAAAGUUAGUUUCUCUAUCCC
This 110-nucleotide ribosomal RNA is filed under the name Chinchilla lanigera (long-tailed chinchilla). The record is from RNAcentral. Lineage: Eukaryota; Metazoa; Chordata; Mammalia; Rodentia; Chinchillidae.